This 1447-nucleotide ribosomal RNA is filed under the name uncultured prokaryote. RNAcentral describes it as "partial 16S ribosomal RNA". It matches the Rfam family "Bacterial small subunit ribosomal RNA". The record is from RNAcentral.
GAACGCUAGCGGCAGGCCUAACACAUGCAAGUCGAGGGGUAACAGGGAGUGCUUGCACUCCGCUGACGACCGGCGCACGGGUGCGCACCGCGUAUGAAAUCUGCCUCUUGCUGGGGAAUAGCCCAUGGAAACGUGGAUUAAUGCCCCAUAGUACUAGUUGCGGCAUUGCAAUUAAGUUAAAGGUUUCGACCGGCAAGAGAUGAUCAUGCGUCCCAUUAGCUUGAUGGUAAGGUAACGGCUUACCAUGGCUACGAUGGGUAGGGGCCCUGAGAGGGGGAUCCCCCACACUGGUACUGAGACACGGACCAGACUCCUACGGGAGGCAGCAGUGAGGAAUAUUGGACAAUGGGCGAGAGCCUGAUCCAGCCAUGCCGCGUGCAGGAAGACGGCCCUAUGGGUUGUAAACUGCUUUUAUACAGGAAGAAAAAGGGGUACGUGUACCCUACUGACGGUACUGUAAGAAUAAGGACCGGCUAACUCCGUGCCAGCAGCCGCGGUAAUACGGAGGGUCCGAGCGUUAUCCGGAAUUAUUGGGUUUAAAGGGUCCGUAGGCGGGCCAUUAAGUCAGGGGUGAAAGUCUGCGGCUCAACCGUAGAAUUGCCUUUGAUACUGGUGGUCUUGAGUUAUGGUGAAGUGGCUGGAAUAUGUAGUGUAGCGGUGAAAUGCAUAGAUAUUACAUAGAACACCGAUUGCGAAGGCAGGUCACUAACCAUAUACUGACGCUGAUGGACGAAAGCGUGGGGAGCGAACAGGAUUAGAUACCCUGGUAGUCCACGCCGUAAACGAUGGAUACUAGCUGUCCGGAUCCUUGAGAUCUGGGCGGCCAAGCGAAAGUGAUAAGUAUCCCACCUGGGGAGUACGUUCGCAAGAAUGAAACUCAAAGGAAUUGACGGGGGCCCGCACAAGCGGUGGAGCAUGUGGUUUAAUUCGAUGAUACGCGAGGAACCUUACCAGGGCUUAAAUGUAUUUUGACAGGUUUAGAGAUAGACUUUCCUUCGGGCAAUUUACAAGGUGCUGCAUGGUUGUCGUCAGCUCGUGCCGUGAGGUGUCAGGUUAAGUCCUAUAACGAGCGCAACCCCUGUUGUUAGUUGCCAGCGAGUCAUGUCGGGGACUCUAACAAGACUGCCGGUGCAAACCGUGAGGAAGGUGGGGAUGACGUCAAAUCAUCACGGCCCUUACGUCCUGGGCCACACACGUGCUACAAUGGUAGGUACAGAGAGCAGCCAUGUCGCAAGGCAGAGCGAAUCUAUAAAACCUAUCACAGUUCGGAUCGGAGUCUGCAACUCGACUCCGUGAAGCUGGAAUCGCUAGUAAUCGGAUAUCAGCCAUGAUCCGGUGAAUACGUUCCCGGGCCUUGUACACACCGCCCGUCAAGCCAUGGAAGCUGGGAGUACCUGAAGUCCGUCACCGUAAGGAGCGGCCUAGGGUAAAAUUGGUAACUAGGGCU